CCUACGGGAGGCAGCAGUGAGGAAUAUUGGUCAAUGGACGAGAGUCUGAACCAGCCAAGUAGCGUGAAGGAUGACUGCCCUAUGGGUUGUAAACUUCUUUUAUAUGGGAAUAAAACGUUCCACGUGUGGGAUUUUGUAUGUACCAUAUGAAUAAGGAUCGGCUAACUCCGUGCCAGCAGCCGCGGUAAUACGGAGGAUCCGAGCGUUAUCCGGAUUUAUUGGGUUGAAAGGGAGCGUAGGUGGAUUGUUAAGUCAGUUGUGAAAGUUUGCGGCUCAACCGUAAAAUUGCAGUUGAAACUGGCAGUCUUGAGUACAGUAGAGGUGGGCGGAAUUCGUGGUGUAGCGGUGAAAUGCUUAGAUAUCACGAAGAACUCCGAUUGCGAAGACAGUUCACUGGACUGCAACUGACACUGAGGCUCGAAAGUGUGGGUAUCAAACAGGAUUAGAUACCCCUGUAGUC
RNAcentral lists this ribosomal RNA (460 nucleotides) under uncultured bacterium. RNAcentral's name for it is "partial 16S ribosomal RNA". It matches the Rfam family "Bacterial small subunit ribosomal RNA", at positions 338 to 795 of the family's 1533-position model. The record is from RNAcentral.